AUAACUUUUGCACUGUCCACUUCCUGCUGUGACAAAACAAAUUUCCCACGUGUGGGACUAAUAAAGGUUAUCUUAUCACACUGACUAAAUUUCUUAAAACUAAAAGGAGGACUUAUUGAAGUGUGGGACAAAAAGACGUCUGGCUAGUUUGUACAUAAAUAAGCUAAAGCUCAGUUAAGCAGACUAGCAUUUCUAGUACCAAGGCAAAUAUCUGUUAGUUCAGACAUGUUCCGACAUCUCGGGACAGCCCUGACAAACGCUGGCACCUUUCUCCCAAGCUUCUGCAGUAUUUUAAUUUAAAAAAAUGAGCAGUUGUACUCGGACUGUCAGUGACCUGAUCUAACCACUGAAAUUGAUGUGACUAUAUUCUGUAACUAAUCUGACAUGUGUGACAUUUCAGUUAUGGGCUUUUGGUAACUGUUUAUCAGAUAGCUAGAAAUAACAGGAAGAUGGUCUUGUCCCAGCAAAGGUAACAAUGCCUUAUCUAUAUGUGGAACGGUUGAGCUUACAUGCUCCUCCUCAGAGGCCCAUUUUGAACAAGGAAGAACCCUGAACGGGUAAUUCCCCAUCCCACGUAAGCAGGAACAUCAGUAGUAGCAGUGCAUUUGUGUUCGACCUUCUAUGCUCUAUUUUGAUGAUGAUGAUGAUGAUAAUUUAAAAAGAAAAAGAAAAAGUAAAAAGAACAGGUUGGAUAAUUAAAACGAGUUUUAUCUCAAUCAAAGCUGUUCUGUUUUCUGUUACAGGUUAGUGUAAUGAAUGUCAGAGUAAGUCACCACAUUCAGGCAAAUUGAUUGUGCUUGAUUGCUGCAUUUAGUUGGCUGUUGGUCUCUUCACUUGAGACUAAUUGCUGACGCUCCGUCUGACGCUAACUGAGGAGAGUUUGUAGUUGCUCGUUUUGACUGUUCAUGCAAGCUUUACUUUAGCAUCGCCAUCUAUAACCGCUGGGGACUCUUGGUGUGAUUAUGUAGCUAAUGGGGCGGGCCUUGUCAUCAGAUGCUGGCCGUCUGUUAACACGCAGCCCACUCAGAGGCUGAUUGAACACGUCCGUCUUCAUCAGGGCAAAUGCAACAAUGAAAUUAGGCCAUUUUGAGCUGAAUUGGAGUUAAUGCCAGGAGGAAAAAAAAUAUUUCAAUAAUUUUCUCAUCAGAACCACAGUGUGCUGAUUAGGUCAGCCACUUGGUAUGGAAAUCAAAUGACACACAGUUCUCCUGUUUCUGCCUUGAAGUUGUAAAACAAUUUUUUGUUUGUUUGGGACCAAAAAACAAGGAGUUGUAUUGAUUUUUGAUAACAACAGUUAUUCUGUAAAUCCUGUUGUCUGUGGCCAGUCUUUUAAGUUGCAUCUUCAAGCUGUCAGGAGUUUUUAUUUAUUUUUUCCCAGGCUCAUUAUACUUUAUUGAAGCUAUCAAAGAAUAUUCUGCCUUUUUCUUUUUUUCUUUUUUUCUUUUCUCCUAGUGUUAGGGAAAAUAAAUGGAGUUGAGCGAGAGAGAGAGAGAGAGACUUUGUUCUACUUGACAGCUGUCAGAGAUAUUACUGAGGCAUUAGAGGCAUUCUGUGUCUCAUUGAAUCAGCUUAUAAGGCCACUGGUUUCCUAAAAGGAAAAAACGGCUCACGAUUUUUUUUCUUUCUUUAAGGGUAUUACUAGCAAACAGCUGUUUCAGUCGACUGAUUUCUCUCUUUUCUUUGAAGCAGCAUGUUCUCUGUGUGAACCUUGACUUUAUUUUAUCCCCAAUAAAGUGUUAAAGUGGCAUGCUGCUGAUUACCAGGUGAUGAAAUGAGUUUGGUCUGUCAUUUAAACGGGAAGAGACUCAUGGCAAUUUGUAACAUGUCUUUAGUAAGACUUGAUCAAUAUUUUUAUUAAAGCAACAUUGUGAUGGUUUGACAUUGAAUGUACCACGUUAGUGAUUUUCUAGUAAUGAUAAAAUGUUAGCUGGUAUUUAUUUUUAAUGAUUGAUAAUAGCAGGCAGUGAGAUUGGUUUCCAUCAGCAAUGGUGGGGGGGGAAAAAACUCUACAUCAUGUGACAUUUGGUGUUGCUGUGACCCUCCUGAGGGUUUCGGAAUGAGUAAUGUCCACAACCACGAGUAUAACCAGGCAAAUUGGCUGGCCUUCUAUUAUGGGCACCGGAAAAGGUGUCGCUGGCAUACUUGCGCGGUCAGAGCUCACCAACAGGACAGACACAUGGUCUAGAUAAAUCACCUGUUUUUAUGGGUGGCGCAGCAGUGGGCAUGCAACUGCCGUGGCUCUGGAUGGCUCGUCAGCUGCUGCAGGGUGUCUUGGAGCGCGACGAGCUGCCACAACGCAGGGCUGUUUGUGGAAGCUCAGCAAAAGACUUCAUCACUGCCGUCUGGAAAUACUCUGGCAGGUGGUGCUGGGAGCAGAGCUGGGCGGUACUGACAGAAUCAAUUGCAGUAUUUAUUUUAACCGGUACACUUGGAGUAAAGUAUCGAGAUUUUGUGUAGGUCUAAUAGUUUAAUACAAUGUUUAAGUGUCUGACAUAACUAGCUUAUUAUAGUUACAGCCAAAAACCGAAACCAUGUCUGAAAAGGCAUCAAAAUAGAAACUUGACUCUGAGAAGAAAAAUAAAACUUUGUACUUGGUAAAUUAAAUAAAAUGAAUAUAUACAGUGAAGGACUUUGAAUUUAGUCUUGUCCCAGUUUGAUUAAAUUUUUCCACACAACAUACCUGAGGUGGUCCGCCUGCUGAGGCUUGGGAUCACUACAUGACAAAGUCAACAACACCCACAACAUUGUCUUAUAUUGCAUGUUUUGAACUUGAUAAAUUUUAGUGAAAUUCAGCUCGGCCUCUGCUUGUCUCAACAAACACACAGAUAACAGCAAAGAUGAUGGCGUCAUAGGUGCAAUUUACACUUGAGCUGCAACCUUGAGACGGCAAACAAAAAUUGUUUCCCGUUUUCACAAUCUAAAGCUGUGCAACACAAUCAGAAGUGGAAAAAAUGUUUUUCUUCUAUCAACAACCAACUUGUUUUAAAACUGUGUGGCAACAGUGCAUGUUAAACAAGUUGUUUAAUUUGCCAAGAUCUUCAAAACUGUCAAAAGCUUUGCAGCAGGCUGACAGCUGCACCACCCAAAUUGCAGUAGCUUUGAAAAAACUUGAGUUUUGGCGAUUCACACAAAUCAAAAUGUACAAUGAGCCUGAGAAACUUUUGAUCUUGGGGUGGUCAGUGUUCAGGUUGACACUUUGUAAUCUAAAGCAGGCUGGAUGAUGUGAUCAAUAAGUGGGAAAACACAGCUGCUUAUGUAGAUAUGCUGUAGAUAAUGGUGUUUGCUGUAGAUUUUGUCAUCAUAAGGUGAGCACGUGGCUCUUGCUCUUUGUACGUGGCAUUGCAUCAACUUUGCGUUUACCCUUCAUCCAUAUUUCUUGUGGACUUCAAAGGAGUAUAACAGGAAUAACCACUCAUCUGUGUCUGCACCUGUCUCUGUCCACAACAUGGUUAAAGAGCAGCUUAAGAUAGAUGAUCUUCUUCUGGGUGCUCUGACAAAUUCAGAGCUAUUUACCAUUUGUAAGUUGUAAAAUGGCACAUCCUUGUAAAAUCUACAUUUAAAAGCGUUUUUAUUUUUGACGCUGUAGCUGCCCAAUGAAUCAAAUUUUAACUCCAGUUACUGUUUUGUUUGGCUUUCAGUCAGUAUUAAAACAAGGUAAUUGGGAUUAAAAUGCCUAUUGUCACAUUCGGUUUAACAAGUAUGGUCUUGUUUGGUCUUCAAGUGCCCCACUUUUUGCUGCUCCCAGGGCCCAAAUUGUCUGAAUGACUAUUUAAAUGGAAAAAAUUAUGCUAUUUUUUUCUGAUAGCAUAAUUGUGUUAAAUAAUCAUGAUUUUAAUUUUUGCCAUAAUCAAGCAACCUUAAUUAGCAUGGUAUAAACAAUGUUGCUGUGCCUGUCAUACCGAUAGCAGUAAUUAAAGUUACAAAGUCUGUCUGAAUGUCUUGAUUUUUCUGGUGUUGCUCCCACUACAGUAAAGUUGAUGAAAUUUGAAUAUGUAUUUGUUUUUCAAAAAAAAACAUUUAGGAAAAAAAUGCCAACAGUGGUAUGUCUUUACUUAAUGCCCCAGCUCUUCUGACCUUAUUGGACCCACGGUGAAUGGAUAUCAGCUACAUGUUUAUUUGGGUUUUAUACCAACAGGUUUUUGUUUUGCAAAACAGCUCUGCAGCAUAUGACAUCACUUUAAACUGGUUUAUACGUGCAAAUGUAAAUACUUAGUUCGCAGCAGUCACCUUUGUAAUAUUCAUAGGUGACUAUACAGUUGUCAGCUCGGUUAUGCUGUAUGAUGCAACAUCUUGAAGCAGACAGUUUCAUAAUAGAUUUUGUUUACUUGAAUUUUACUUCCUUGAGUAUAUAUGUGUAUACUAAAAAUGCAGCAGAAUCAUGCCCGAAGAAUGUAAUCUCACAGUCGCAUAGCAGAAGAGCUAUGCACAGCUGCAGUGGCUUUGAGAGUUUAAUGAAUGUAAAGGAGACGGUGUCAUAUGCAGCCUUCAUGUUUUUGAAUUCUGACACAAAUCCAGUAUUUUCAAGUGAGGUUUUCUCUGUGCUGUGAGAUCUGAGCAAAGUGCCUAUGGCAAAAUGGCGUCGGAAUGCCACUGGCAGAAAUGGACAAAUGGUGUCACACACCAGUACUGUGGCCUUAGCAGACGUAGCCUUCGACGUGUUCCAGUGCGUCUGUAUGACUUGGUCCAUUGUGCCGCAGAGGAACGGUGAAUAGUGUUCUCCGGCAUGGGGGAACAAUAUGUGAUUGUUCCCCUGCUGUGGCAAAGAAGCUGUAGGUUACUCUCUGUACCAUCGCCAAAGCGCCUGAGGAGGAGAUGCACUGCAAAAUCUCGGCCUGCUAACCACCGAUUCUUGGAAGUUUAGAGCUUUGCGGUGCUGUUUUUGAGUAGCUGUUACAUGCUAGUGGGAGGGGCCACAAUCCCCUCUUUUGGAGAAGAGGUUUUUGUUUCACAGUAGUUCCUUUUGUUUGUUUUUUUUUGUUUUGUUUUUGUUUUUUUUCUCUGGGAAAAUUGUUUGUCAUCAUUCAAAUGUAUUGAAAGCCUUCAGAGGGAAGGGGCAAGGGCUAAUUUGGAGGUGUGGAGUUGGAUUUCGGGAGGAACACGAGCAGAAGUGUGAUUUGUUAGCAUGUCAUUUAAGUCCCUCAAGGAGUUUGGUGUUUCUGCUGAACGGCUGGGCUCAUUUUGCAAGAGAUGGAUGACUCGUGUUCAGAGCAACGGCGGCAGCAGCAGCAAGAUGAACGGGUCGCUGGAGCACUUGGACCAGCCAGACCCUGACUCCAUCAAGAUGUUUGUUGGACAGAUCCCCCGCUCCUGGUCAGAAACGGAACUUAAAGAGCUAUUUGAGCCCUUUGGAGCCGUGCACCAGAUAAACAUUCUUCGUGAUCGCACUCAGAAUCCUCCUCAGAGCAAAGGAUGCUGUUUUGUAACUUUUUAUACAAGAAAAGCUGCACUGGAGGCCCAGAAUGCACUGCACAACAUAAAGACCUUAAGUGGGAUGCAUCAUCCUAUCCAGAUGAAACCCGCUGACAGUGAGAAAACAAGUGCGGUAGAAGACAGAAAACUCUUUGUCGGCAUGGUUUCAAAGAAAUACGGUGAGAACGAGGUCAGAAUGAUGUUCUCGUCUUUCGGACAGAUCGAAGAGUGCCGAAUACUUCGGGGACCGGAUGGUCAGAGCAGAGGCUGUGCGUUUGUCACAUUUGCUACCAGGGCAAUGGCACAGAAUGCAAUCAAAACCAUGCAUCACUCUCAAACUAUGGAGGGCUGUUCCUCACCUCUGGUGGUGAAGUUUGCCGACACACAGAGAGAUAAGGAGCAGCGGCGCCUGCAGCAGCAGCUAGUACAGCAGAUUCAGCAGCUCAACAGCGCCUCCACCUGGGGAAACCUGGCUGGGCUGGGGACUCUUUCACCGCAGUACCUGGCUCUGCUCCAGCAGGCCACUUCUCUCAGUAACCAAGGCAGUCUCAAUGGUAUUCAAAGGCUAGGAGCGGGUGUGAAUCCACUUCAGCUGCAGAACCUGGCCACAUUAGCUGCCGCUGCAGCUGCAGCUCAGAGUUCUGCCAGCCCAACUUCCACCAGCGCUCUGUCUACCAGCAGCGGUGCCCUGGGAGCUCUUGCCAGUCCAGUUGGGUCAACAGCAGGGUCCAGUGCUGCCGCUGCCGUGAACCCCUUGGCAUCUCUGGGGACUCUGCAAGGUCUCACUGGGACCUCUGUGGGCCUCAACAACCUUAACGCUCUCACCAGCAGCGUCAGUGGUAUGGGGGCCAUGAACGGGGGUCUGGGAGCCUCCAUGGCCAACGGGUCAGCAGCCAGCUCUAUGGAUGCCCUAACCCAGGCCUACUCAGGGAUGCAGCAGUACACAGCGUCUGCCCUGCCCGCCCUCUACAGCCAGUCUCUCCUUCAGCAGAGUGUGGCUGGCAGUCAGAAGGAAGUAGGGCCAGAGGGCGCCAACCUGUUCAUCUAUCACCUGCCCCAGGAGUGUGGGGACCAGGAUCUUCUGCAGAUGUUCAUGCCUUUUGGAAAUGUGGUCUCUGCCAAAGUUUUCAUUGACAAACAGACCAAUCUGAGCAAGUGCUUUGGGUUCGUCAGCUAUGACAAUCCUGUGUCUGCACAAGCUGCCAUCCAGGCCAUGAAUGGUUUCCAGAUUGGCAUGAAGAGGCUGAAGGUUCAGCUGAAACGCUCCAAGAACGACAGCAAACCCUACUGAUCCUACCCCCGGGGCCUUCCCCCUCCCCAGCUCUAAAGCUAGCACUGCUAGGAACAAAUCUCCAUGCCUGUUUGCUCAUCAUUAGCCUAGCAUGUCUUCAUGAUGUUGAAAGCCAAGCCAAACUCCUGGCCCACAUCAUCCCACCAUUGUCUGUGAUGUCUCUCUAAGCUCGCCUGACCAAUACCUGGCCACCCACUGACCUUGACCUUAGCUCAACCUGAUUUUUCUGCAUGUAUAUUGAUUUUUGUUUUCGUUUGCUUUUUCUGUAUAGAAAUGUGACUGGUGGGAGAGAGGUCAAGCAAAUCAAUGUGAAAACUUUACCUAGGUUAAGUUCAUUUGAGUGACCUGUUUUUUGUUUUUGUUUUUUUGCGAAUGUUUUAAAAAGAAAAAACCUGUGGGAUUUCUUACUUUUAAUUUAGCUUUGUGGGACUUUUUUUUUUUUUAAUGUUUUUUCUUUUUACCUCUCUCAGUAAAGCUCACUUGAAAGUUGAAUACAGGGAUUGGCACACAGCUGUGCUAUUUGGUGCCAUUAGCAAUAUGUUGGCUUCUUAAAAAAAAUGCUACAGACCACUUUCCAACACUUUUGAAAGUCUGACCAUUAAAAUCCCUCUCAGUGCUCUGUAAUGAUCUCUACAUUUUGCAGGCAGCGUGAAGAUUUACACCAAGGCUAUUUAAAAAAGAAAAAGAAAAAUUCAUUUAUAAAAAUAUCCAGUGUUUUUCUUUUUCUUUGAUUUCCUUUUGGGUUUUUUGUUUUUGAACUAUUGAUGGCACAAUAAAAGGUACAUUGCUCUGUUGAGAGAAAUGACUACCUACAUGAGUCAACUUUUUUAGAACUGAUUCACAAAUAGACAAUCUGUGGUUUAAAUGCACACUUAGAUUAACUAUAUUUUAUACCAUUGAAUCUAUAGAAGUUUAACUAACAGAACCCAGGCAAACGUUGGGUUUUUUGUAGAUUACGUUGUAAUGUCAUCUGUGUUUGGGCAGGGAGGGGGGGCAGGGGCGGGAGGGGUCUUCAGUGUACUACAUUUUUAAAGAGGACUAAAAAUCUGUUUGAUCAGCAUGACCAUUUGAGGGUCAUUUCUAGUAAAUUAAAAAGUUCAAAAUUCCUCUGCUUUAAUUGUAAUUUUGUUUUCUGGUUUAAAUUUCUUUUCUUUUUUUUUUUUUUUUUUUUUCUUUAUAUCCCUGCUAAACUUGCAUGGUACGUACAUCUUGUCAACUUUCUGUGAAUUUCUCUUUGCUAAUUUAAUUAAUGAAUUUUUCACUUUGGUUUUGUUUGGAUGCCUCGUUGAGAGAUGAUUUACAAUGUCUGUUGAUCAUACAGAUGCCAGACAAUGUUAUUCUGUUGGAUUUUGUUGUUGAAGUGCCCAUGUGUCAAAUAUUUCUUGCGCUUUUUUUUUUUUUUUUUUUUAAACUCACCACUUUGUUUGCUGUAAUAUUACCUAGUUUGUCUGUACACACACACACACACGCUGCAACACAUGCAAACACACACAAACACUCUUUUGUGGUUGCAAAUGUGGGAGCCCCUGAAGAGGAGAUAACUCGGACACAACACGCAACCUGUGGGUCUCUGCACGUUUUGUUUUUCUUUCCUCUUUCUUUUAAAAACAUGCACUCGUGUGAUGCUCAAGAAGUCACACAGCACAUUAAAUCGACUUAAUCCACCACAGUAGUGUUGGUUUACAAAUAACAUUCCAUUUUUCUCAGCACGGAAGUUUACACUUUUUUAUCAGGGUGGCAUUUUUGUGUGACGACCCUGGUAAAACAACCACUUCACCCUCCCGUUCCCCCAAAGAAAGGGUUCCCUAAAACUGCGUACCUGAUGGCGCUAAAGAGUUGUCAGCUCAGGGCUCUUUGUUUCCUUUUUUUUUUUCUUUUUUGUGUGUGUGUGUGUGCUUGUGGGGGGGGAACUAGACACUGACGCAGGAUUACCACACAAAAUGCACUGUUAACCACCAUUUGACUUUCUUUUCAGUUGGGAUUUUUCCCCUUUUACUCUAAACUUAAAUAUUCCUAAACAAAAGGAAGGUACCAAAUUUGAACCGGUGCUGGGGGGGGGAAGUGUUAUAGUUUUGUAAGGAGAUGUUAAGCACAAUUGUGGGAGCUAAUCACUUUUGCAGAAUGUCGUGUGUAUGUGUGGUUACGAUCCCAAAUUUUUCCAAGGUACCACUGAUUUCUCUUUUAAUAUGGGCAUGUGCUUUUUACAGUAUUUGUUUUGUUUUCUAUCCAAAUGCAAUACAAUAUUCAAAGUGCCAUAUAUACGUCUAGAAACUGCCUACACAUUAUUAGGCCUUGGUUUAGAGAUUGCUGCAGUUCGCCUUUCUAUUUUGUUUUGGGUUUCUUUGUUUUUUUUUCUUUUGGGUCUAUUUAUGCCAGUGUCAUGAAAGCUCUUGUCACCUGCUAAUGUCUCCCCUUUGCCUUUACUGUGUUGAGUUAUUGGUAAAUGUGUAUUGUGAUGUACUCAAUUUGAACAGUUGGUUUAAAACGUUGUAGAUAAACAAUAAACUUCCCUAUACAUUUGAA
Haplochromis burtoni (Burton's mouthbrooder) is the source of this 9223-nucleotide RNA transcript. It is a transcript of the gene named CUGBP Elav-like family member 2, with no coding region annotated. The record is from RefSeq and is a predicted model, not a curated record. The transcript is spliced from 14 exons. Lineage: Eukaryota; Metazoa; Chordata; Actinopteri; Cichliformes; Cichlidae.